UUUAUUGAGUGAUGAUAUUAUUUCUCUCUUAAGAAAAAAUAGUUUCAAAUUUAUUUAUUUAUCAUUAUAUGAUCAAAUCAUGGUUCCUAAUUAUUUAGUUGAUGUCUUAUUUAAUUUUAUCUUCUUUUAGCAAACUUUAUGAAUAUGUAGUUUAUUAUAUUAGAGUAGGAAAAAUUGGUGUCAUUUAUUAAGUUACUAACUUAAUUUUAUUAUAAUUGUUUCUAGUUUUAUGCUAGUUACUAGUUAGGAAGCACACGAUCAUGUUUAUUUAUUACUAGAAAGUAUAAGAUACAACUUCUUCCAUGUUCAUAUGAUCAUGACACACCACUUUCCACCCCAUGAUUUAGUUCCACAUUUUUAGCAAGGAAGUUAGUGAGUGAGAGAGUUAUUCGGUUCCUAUUCUUUUCACACAUACCCAUUCUAUACUUUGAAGAACAAAACAAAAACAAAAUACAUAGGAAGAAAGAGAAAGAGAAGGAGAGAAAACAAACAUUCACUCUAGGGAGACAAGUAAGAAUCCUAUCAUCACUAUCACUAUUCAUGUCAAUUAUUAAUGAUAACCAAAAUCAUUCCCUAUUUUAUCGUAUAUCAUACAGGGAACACAAGUACUUUUGCUUUGUUUCAACUGCCUAGAUAUAGAAAUAAAUAGAGAAAGAUAGAGAGAAGAGAGUGAAAAAGGAAAAACAAUUUGGAAGAUGGAAGAAGGGUCGAGAGAGAUUAGAGUCCACUAUAAGAAAUUCAUCGUCACCAAGUAUGGAUGUAGUGGAACAAAGACUGCUCCUUGAGGAGUUUAAGGAUUGUUUUUGUAAAGAUGACCGUCAAUCCGUCUUUCGUCCUUGGCGGUGACGCUGGGGAGGCAAAGUGAUUUAGUAGAUGAAGACGCAAGUAAAACGGUGGCACACAUUCGGAGGCUUGAUAUAUUCCGACACUGGUAUUAACCUUGUUGAGAAAACUUUUCACAAGCAUCCAGAACUUUGACCAGCUAGGUGUAGUCUUAGGUAGGAAAAAAAGCCAAGAGCCUUGCUAUUAGGAAUAAUAUAUUUUUGAUGUAAAAUUUACUAUUUUGGAAAUUCAAAGAGAAGGUUAUUUAUUG
This is a long non-coding RNA of Medicago truncatula (barrel medic), 1093 nucleotides long. RefSeq lists it as uncharacterized. NCBI's taxonomy places the organism in Eukaryota, Viridiplantae, Streptophyta, Magnoliopsida, Fabales, Fabaceae. The record is from RefSeq and is a predicted model, not a curated record. The transcript has 3 exons.